RNAcentral lists this ribosomal RNA (483 nucleotides) under uncultured bacterium. RNAcentral describes it as "partial 16S ribosomal RNA". It matches the Rfam family "Bacterial small subunit ribosomal RNA", at positions 30 to 507 of the family's 1533-position model. The record is from RNAcentral.
AUUGAACGCUGGCGGCAGGCCUAACACAUGCAAGUCGAGCGGAUGAAGGGAGCUUGCUCCUGGAUUCAGCGGCGGACGGGUGAGUAAUGCCUAGGAAUCUGCCUGGUAGUGGGGGAUAACGUCCGGAAACGGGCGCUAAUACCGCAUACGUCCUGAGGGAGAAAGUGGGGGACCUCGGACCCUACGCCUACCGAAGAACCUAGGUCGGAUUAGCUUGUUGGUGGGGUAAAGGCCUACCAAGGCGACGAUCCGUAACUGGUCUGAGAGGAUGAUCAGUCACACUGGAACUGAGACACGGUCCAGACUCCUACGGGAGGCAGCAGUGGGGAAUAUUGGACAAUGGGCGAAAGCCUGAUCCAGCCAUGCCGCGUGUGUGAAGAAGGUCUUCGGAUUGUAAAGCACUUUAAGUUGGGAGGAAGGGCAGUAAGUUAAUACCUUGCUGUUUUGACGUUACCAACAGAAUAAGCACCGGCUAACUUCGUG